Cinara cedri is the source of this 687-nucleotide non-coding RNA. Lineage: Eukaryota; Metazoa; Arthropoda; Insecta; Hemiptera; Aphididae. The record is from the annotation of a GenBank genome assembly.
UGGGCUGUUAUAAUUAUAAUAAUAUAAUGAAUUGCGUUUGUUGCGAAACGUUUAAUGUGAAUAACGAAUCACAAACGAAAACGAAAAAAAUGAAUUGUUUGAUUCGCCGAAUAUUCACCUAUUCAUUGUCACAAUAAACAAUAAAUCCUACGUCUAUCGUAAAAUAAUUCGUAUAACCUUUUCACACUCAAUCAUAAAUUGAAAAAAAGGGAAAAUAUAAGAAAUGUAGGUAUUAGUUAAAAUAUACUUCGGCCUUAUUUUUUCUGUGCACAACUUUUCUACCAGCAAUUUUGCAAUAUUCUAUGGUAUCGUUUAUUUUAGACCUAUUAGGUUUUAUCAGAAUUCAGAUUAGUAUAGAACAAUUAGAAGAAAAGAAGAAUACCCGAUAAAUUCGUCCGUUCAACGGGUUCUAAGAUCUAAAUAAUCUUGCUCUAGAUCAACGAGAAGGUAGUUUAAUUUAAUAAACUUUAACUUUUGAAAAACCUUUAACUUAACCAAAAACGUGUAUAAAACAAUACGAGCCGUAGCCCAAUUACAUAGAUAUUAAUUACAAAUACAUAUUGCAUGCUUAUAAUAAUACACAUAUUAAUAAUAACUAUACUAAAACAAGUGAAUGGUUCCUUAUUUUACAUACGUAAUACGUAUCAUUAUAAUUAUUGGUUGGUUCUCUAAAUAAGUGGUAUUGAA